ACUAAAUAGGCAAAACUAGAGAAAUCUAGUGACGCAAAGCUAUAGGGGCUAAAGUUUGUAUAUACGAACUAUGCUAGCCAGUUGCCAA
RNAcentral lists this non-coding RNA (88 nucleotides) under Clostridioides difficile. Its description in RNAcentral is "Cyclic di-GMP-I riboswitch". It matches the Rfam family "c-di-GMP-I riboswitch aptamer". From Rfam's summary of the family: GEMM was predicted in a large-scale screen for bacterial structured RNA regulatory elements. Genes associated with GEMM are involved in a diverse array of functions, including chemotaxis regulation, signal transduction, secretion and chitin. The record is from RNAcentral. Lineage: Bacteria; Bacillati; Bacillota; Clostridia; Peptostreptococcales; Peptostreptococcaceae.